Molecule: ribosomal RNA, 105 nt
Filed under: Priestia megaterium WSH-002
Lineage: Bacteria; Bacillati; Bacillota; Bacilli; Caryophanales; Bacillaceae
Source: RNAcentral
UGGUGGCGAUAGCGAAGAGGUCACACCCGUUCCCAUACCGAACACGGAAGUUAAGCUCUUUAGCGCCAAUGGUAGUUGGGACUUUGUCCCUGUGAGAGUAGGACG